Dipodomys ordii (Ord's kangaroo rat) is the source of this 520-nucleotide long non-coding RNA. RefSeq lists it as uncharacterized. The record is from RefSeq and is a predicted model, not a curated record. NCBI's taxonomy places the organism in Eukaryota, Metazoa, Chordata, Mammalia, Rodentia, Heteromyidae. The transcript has 2 exons.
GGAAGUGGCCCGCCCUGACUCAGCCUGAGUCAUCUUGUUCCAAUGAGAACGGAGGCUGAGGUGUGCGCCUUUUUUUCCCCCCCUUUUUGGUCUCAAUUGUAUGGACAUCACUGGGAAUGGAGGGAACUAAGUGACUGUAGGGCUGCUACCUUGCAAGUUUCAAAACCGUGGUUGUGCCUGAGCCCUGGGAACUUCUUGGAAUCAUCAUAGAGCAGCCCUCAGCUUCUCCCUGAAUAACUGGGAGAUGAAACAGGAAGCUCUAUGACACACUUGAGCGAAAAUGACACAGACACUGAAAAAUCAGGACUCACACCCGCCCCCAUCCAGUGCCUCUACCUGCUGCCCACUGAUCACCCCCAGAAAGCAGCUGAAGGGUUUACCUGGCAUUGGAUUCCUGGGACCUGUUUGGUGGUGAUAAUUUUGCAAUCUUUUUUCAUGAAUUCCCCCAGUUGAUUCUCCAUUUAUCUGGUUAGUCUUUUGUAUCCUAAAUCCCUUCUCCUUCAUUAAAAGGAAAUUUAAA